RNAcentral lists this small RNA (89 nucleotides) under Marmota monax (woodchuck). Lineage: Eukaryota; Metazoa; Chordata; Mammalia; Rodentia; Sciuridae. The record is from RNAcentral.
GCCAGGCGCAGUGGUGCAUGCCUGUAAUCCCCGUGAAUUGGGAGGCUGAGGCAGGAGGAUCGAAAGUUCUCAGUGAGACCCUGUCUCAA